GGCCUAACACAUGCAAGUCGAGCGGUAACAGGGGAAGCUUGCUUCCCGCUGACGAGCGGCGGACGGGUGAGUAAUGCUUAGGAAUCUGCCCAGUAGUGGGGGAUAGCCCGGGGAAACCCGGAUUAAUACCGCAUACGUCCUACGGGAGAAAGCAGGGGAUCUUCGGACCUUGCGCUAUUGGAUGAGCCUAAGUCGGAUUAGCUAGUUGGUGGGGUAAAGGCCUACCAAGGCGACGAUCCGUAGCUGGUCUGAGAGGAUGAUCAGCCACAUCGGGACUGAGACACGGCCCGAACUCCUACGGGAGGCAGCAGUGGGGAAUAUUGGACAAUGGGGGCAACCCUGAUCCAGCCAUGCCGCGUGUGUGAAGAAGGCUUUCGGGUUGUAAAGCACUUUCAGUAGGGAGGAAAACCUUAUGGCUAAUACCCAUGAGGCUUGACGUUACCUACAGAAGAAGCACCGGCUAACUCCGUGCCAGCAGCCGCGGUAAUACGGAGGGUGCAAGCGUUAAUCGGAAUUACUGGGCGUAAAGCGCGCGUAGGUGGUUUGGUAAGCGAGAUGUGAAAGCCCCGGGCUUAACCUGGGAACGGCA
Molecule: ribosomal RNA, 589 nt
Filed under: uncultured bacterium
Lineage: Bacteria
Description: bacterial SSU rRNA
Rfam family: Bacterial small subunit ribosomal RNA
Source: RNAcentral